RNAcentral lists this ribosomal RNA (520 nucleotides) under Bifidobacterium breve. RNAcentral describes it as "bacterial SSU rRNA". It matches the Rfam family "Bacterial small subunit ribosomal RNA", at positions 181 to 711 of the family's 1533-position model. The record is from RNAcentral. Lineage: Bacteria; Bacillati; Actinomycetota; Actinomycetes; Bifidobacteriales; Bifidobacteriaceae.
GUUGAUCGCAUGGUGUUCUGGGAAAGCCUUUGCGGCAUGGGAUGGGGUCGCGUCCUAUCAGCUUGAUGGCGGGGUAACGGCCCACCAUGGCUUCGACGGGUAGCCGGCCUGAGAGGGCGACCGGCCACAUUGGGACUGAGAUACGGCCCAGACUCCUACGGGAGGCAGCAGUGGGGAAUAUUGCACAAUGGGCGCAAGCCUGAUGCAGCGACGCCGCGUGAGGGAUGGAGGCCUUCGGGUUGUAAACCUCUUUUGUUAGGGAGCAAGGCAUUUUGUGUUGAGUGUACCUUUCGAAUAAGCACCGGCUAACUACGUGCCAGCAGCCGCGGUAAUACGUAGGGUGCAAGCGUUAUCCGGAAUUAUUGGGCGUAAAGGGCUCGUAGGCGGUUCGUCGCGUCCGGUGUGAAAGUCCAUCGCUUAACGGUGGAUCCGCGCCGGGUACGGGCGGGCUUGAGUGCGGUAGGGGAGACUGGAAUUCCCGGUGUAACGGUGGAAUGUGUAGAUAUCGGGAAGAACACCA